Molecule: ribosomal RNA, 425 nt
Filed under: uncultured bacterium
Lineage: Bacteria
Description: partial 16S ribosomal RNA
Rfam family: Bacterial small subunit ribosomal RNA
Source: RNAcentral
GUGGGGAAUAUUGCACAAUGGGGGAAACCCUGAUGCAGCAACGCCGCGUGAGUGAUGACGGCCUUCGGGUUGUAAAGCUCUGUCUUCAGGGACGAUAAUGACGGUACCUGAGGAGGAAGCCACGGCUAACUACGUGCCAGCAGCCGCGGUAAUACGUAGGUGGCAAGCGUUGUCCGGAUUUACUGGGCGUAAAGGGAGCGUAGGCGGACUUUUAAGUGAGAUGUGAAAUACCCGGGCUCAACCUGGGUGCUGCAUUUCAAACUGGAAGUCUAGAGUGCAGGAGAGGAGAGUGGAAUUCCUAGUGUAGCGGUGAAAUGCGUAGAGAUUAGGAAGAAUACCAGUGGCGAAGGCGCCUUUCUGGACUGUAACUGACGCUGAGGCUCGAAAGCGUGGGGAGCAAACAGGAUUAGAAACCCCGGUAGUCC